GGGUUGUGAGGUUAAGCGACUAAGCGUACACGGUGGAUGCCCUGGCAGUCAGAGGCGAUGAAGGACGUGCUAAUCUGCGAUAAGCGUCGGUAAGGUGAUAUGAACCGUUAUAACCGGCGAUUUCCGAAUGGGGAAACCCAGUGUGAUUCGUCACACUAUCAUUAACUGAAUCCAUAGGUUAAUGAGGCGAACCGGGGGAACUGAAACAUCUAAGUACCCCGAGGAAAAGAAAUCAACCGAGAUUCCCCCAGUAGCGGCGAGCGAACGGGGAGGAGCCCAGAGCCUGAAUCAGUGUGUGUGUUAGUGGAAGCGUCUGGAAAGGCGCGCGAUACAGGGUGACAGCCCCGUACACAAAAAUGCACAUAUUGUGAGCUCGAUGAGUAGGGCGGGACACGUGGUAUCCUGUCUGAAUAUGGGGGGACCAUCCUCCAAGGCUAAAUACUCCUGACUGACCGAUAGUGAACCAGUACCGUGAGGGAAAGGCGAAAAGAACCCCGGCGAGGGGAGUGAAAAAGAACCUGAAACCGUGUACGUACAAGCAGUGGGAGCACGCUUCGGCGUGUGACUGCGUACCUUUUGUAUAAUGGGUCAGCGACUUAUAUUCUGUAGCAAGGUUAACCGAAUAGGGGAGCCGAAGGGAAACCGAGUCUUAACUGGGCGUUAAGUUGCAGGGUAUAGACCCGAAACCCGGUGAUCUAGCCAUGGGCAGGUUGAAGGUUGGGUAACACUAACUGGAGGACCGAACCGACUAAUGUUGAAAAAUUAGCGGAUGACUUGUGGCUGGGGGUGAAAGGCCAAUCAAACCGGGAGAUAGCUGGUUCUCCCCGAAAGCUAUUUAGGUAGCGCCUCGUGAAUUCAUCUCCGGGGGUAGAGCACUGUUUCGGCAAGGGGGUCAUCCCGACUUACCAACCCGAUGCAAACUGCGAAUACCGGAGAAUGUUAUCACGGGAGACACACGGCGGGUGCUAACGUCCGUCGUGAAGAGGGAAACAACCCAGACCGCCAGCUAAGGUCCCAAAGUCAUGGUUAAGUGGGAAACGAUGUGGGAAGGCCCAGACAGCCAGGAUGUUGGCUUAGAAGCAGCCAUCAUUUAAAGAAAGCGUAAUAGCUCACUGGUCGAGUCGGCCUGCGCGGAAGAUGUAACGGGGCUAAACCAUGCACCGAAGCUGCGGCAGCGACGCUGAUGCGUUGUUGGGUAGGGGAGCGUUCUGUAAGCCUGCGAAGGUGUGCUGUGAGGCAUGCUGGAGGUAUCAGAAGUGCGAAUGCUGACAUAAGUAACGAUAAAGCGGGUGAAAAGCCCGCUCGCCGGAAGACCAAGGGUUCCUGUCCAACGUUAAUCGGGGCAGGGUGAGUCGACCCCUAAGGCGAGGCCGAAAGGCGUAGUCGAUGGGAAACAGGUUAAUAUUCCUGUACUUGGUGUUACUGCGAAGGGGGGACGGAGAAGGCUAUGUUGGCCGGGCGACGGUUGUCCCGGUUUAAGCGUGUAGGCUGGUUUUCCAGGCAAAUCCGGAAAAUCAAGGCUGAGGCGUGAUGACGAGGCACUACGGUGCUGAAGCAACAAAUGCCCUGCUUCCAGGAAAAGCCUCUAAGCAUCAGGUAACAUCAAAUCGUACCCCAAACCGACACAGGUGGUCAGGUAGAGAAUACCAAGGCGCUUGAGAGAACUCGGGUGAAGGAACUAGGCAAAAUGGUGCCGUAACUUCGGGAGAAGGCACGCUGAUAUGUAGGUGAAGUCCCUCGCGGAUGGAGCUGAAAUCAGUCGAAGAUACCAGCUGGCUGCAACUGUUUAUUAAAAACACAGCACUGUGCAAACACGAAAGUGGACGUAUACGGUGUGACGCCUGCCCGGUGCCGGAAGGUUAAUUGAUGGGGUCAGCGCAAGCGAAGCUCUUGAUCGAAGCCCCGGUAAACGGCGGCCGUAACUAUAACGGUCCUAAGGUAGCGAAAUUCCUUGUCGGGUAAGUUCCGACCUGCACGAAUGGCGUAAUGAUGGCCAGGCUGUCUCCACCCGAGACUCAGUGAAAUUGAACUCGCUGUGAAGAUGCAGUGUACCCGCGGCAAGACGGAAAGACCCCGUGAACCUUUACUAUAGCUUGACACUGAACAUUGAGCCUUGAUGUGUAGGAUAGGUGGGAGGCUUUGAAGUGUGGACGCCAGUCUGCAUGGAGCCGACCUUGAAAUACCACCCUUUAAUGUUUGAUGUUCUAACGUUGACCCGUAAUCCGGGUUGCGGACAGUGUCUGGUGGGUAGUUUGACUGGGGCGGUCUCCUCCUAAAGAGUAACGGAGGAGCACGAAGGUUGGCUAAUCCUGGUCGGACAUCAGGAGGUUAGUGCAAUGGCAUAAGCCAGCUUGACUGCGAGCGUGACGGCGCGAGCAGGUGCGAAAGCAGGUCAUAGUGAUCCGGUGGUUCUGAAUGGAAGGGCCAUCGCUCAACGGAUAAAAGGUACUCCGGGGAUAACAGGCUGAUACCGCCCAAGAGUUCAUAUCGACGGCGGUGUUUGGCACCUCGAUGUCGGCUCAUCACAUCCUGGGGCUGAAGUAGGUCCCAAGGGUAUGGCUGUUCGCCAUUUAAAGUGGUACGCGAGCUGGGUUUAGAACGUCGUGAGACAGUUCGGUCCCUAUCUGCCGUGGGCGCUGGAGAACUGAGGGGGGCUGCUCCUAGUACGAGAGGACCGGAGUGGACGCAUCACUGGUGUUCGGGUUGUCAUGCCAAUGGCACUGCCCGGUAGCUAAAUGCGGAAGAGAUAAGUGCUGAAAGCAUCUAAGCACGAAACUUGCCCCGAGAUGAGUUCUCCCUGACCCUUUAAGGGUCCUGAAGGAACGUUGAAGACGACGACGUUGAUAGGCCGGGUGUGUAAGCGCAGCGAUGCGUUGAGCUAACCGGUACUAAUGAACCGUGAGGCUUAACCUUACAACGCCGAAGCUGUU
This 2930-nucleotide ribosomal RNA is filed under the name Escherichia coli. RNAcentral describes it as "23S ribosomal RNA". It matches the Rfam family "Bacterial large subunit ribosomal RNA". Lineage: Bacteria; Pseudomonadati; Pseudomonadota; Gammaproteobacteria; Enterobacterales; Enterobacteriaceae. The record is from RNAcentral.